Molecule: ribosomal RNA, 454 nt
Filed under: uncultured bacterium
Lineage: Bacteria
Description: bacterial SSU rRNA
Rfam family: Bacterial small subunit ribosomal RNA
Source: RNAcentral
GGACGACGCUGGCGGCGUGCCUAACACAUGCAAGUCGAACGGAGCACUUCGGUGCUUAGUGGCGGACGGGUGAGUAACGCGUGAGGAACCUGCCUUACAGAGGGGGACAACAGUUGGAAACGACUGCUAAUACCGCAUAACGUAUAUUUGGGACAUCCCAGAUAUACCAAAGGAGCAAUCCGCUGUAAGAUGGCCUCGCGUCCGAUUAGAUAGUUGCGGGGUAAGGCCCACCAAGUCUACGAUCGGUAGCCGGACUGAGAGGUUGAACGGCCACAUUGGGACUGAGACACGGCCCAGACUCCUACGGGAGGCAGCAGUGGGGGAUAUUGCACAAUGGAGGAAACUCUGAUGCAGCAACGCCGCGUGAGGGAAGAAGGUUUUCGGAUUGUAAACCUCUGUUUUAGUGAAGAAACAAAUGACGGUAGCUAAAGAGGAAGCCACGGCUAACUACGUG